Molecule: long non-coding RNA, 390 nt
Organism: Gallus gallus (chicken)
Lineage: Eukaryota; Metazoa; Chordata; Aves; Galliformes; Phasianidae
Source: Ensembl
GGAUUUCUGAGGUACCGAAGAGAAAAAUCUCCAUUUCUUCAAGAGACAGAUUCAUUUGGCACCACUGCACUGAUGAGAACCCAAGCCUCUCAACAGGUCUUGUGGUCCCAGCUCCUCCUCUGUGCCCCAGUGCUUGUUGGACCCUCAUGAGAACUGGCUGCACUAACUAGUUCAGAAGAAAAACAGGAAGCAACACCUCAGGACUGAAAGGCAAUGAUCCCUAAGAGCUGCCCAGUGAAGCUCUACAUCAGUCCUCUCAGCCUUGUAAGACUGCCUUCAAUUAUUUUAAUACUGCCGUUCUUCUCGCUGCUUAUAUAAAUGUGCAUGUAUGAAAGCUUACAGAAUUUCUUUUUAAUGGUCACCUUUUUGUAUUCAAAUAUGACAACAGAA